Molecule: small nuclear RNA, 111 nt
Filed under: Erinaceus europaeus (western European hedgehog)
Lineage: Eukaryota; Metazoa; Chordata; Mammalia; Eulipotyphla; Erinaceidae
Source: RNAcentral
GUGCUCACUUCGGCAGCAUAUAUACUAAAAUUGGAAUGAUACAGAGAAGAUUAGCAUGGCCCCUGUGCAAGGAUGACAUGAAAAUGUCAUCGUGAAGUGUUCCAUAUUUUU